RNAcentral lists this ribosomal RNA (253 nucleotides) under uncultured bacterium. RNAcentral's name for it is "partial 16S ribosomal RNA". It matches the Rfam family "Bacterial small subunit ribosomal RNA", at positions 524 to 776 of the family's 1533-position model. The record is from RNAcentral.
GACGUAGGGGGCCAGCGUUGUUCGGAAUUACUGGGUGUAAAGGGUUCGUAGGCGGUGUGGCAAGUCGGGAGUGAAAUCUCUGAGCUCAACCCAGAGUCUGCUUCCGAAACUGCUGUGCUUGAGUGUGGGAGAGGCGCGUGGAAUUGCAGGUGUAGCGGUGAAAUGCGUAGAUAUCUGGAGGAACACCGGUGGCGAAGGCGGCGUCCUGGACCAACACUGACACUGAUGAGCGAAAGCCAGGGGAGCAAACGGG